This 2300-nucleotide long non-coding RNA is filed under the name Felis catus (domestic cat). RNAcentral's name for it is "lncRNA (ENSFCAG00000042518.2)". The record is from RNAcentral. Lineage: Eukaryota; Metazoa; Chordata; Mammalia; Carnivora; Felidae.
AUGUGCCUCAACCACCUUGAUCGAAGCCCAACGUGGCCUCAGUUGUGGUACUGGCCGAGCUGGUCUGUCCUGCCUAACAGCUUCCACUUACCAGUGCCAGCCUCUCUGUCAUUCCUGGUGUCUGAUCAGACCAGCAGCCUGUGCCAGUUUUGCUGUCUGCUUCCUAACCCAUGCCUCAACCACUCCCGUGGUGGCCUCUUCUGCCAUCACAUUUUCUCUGACACUCUUGAUUUCUGCCUGUGUUGGCCGCAAUCAGCUCAGCUGCUGGUACUUGCAUGGGCCCACGUACUGCUAAAGCCAAAGCACAAGGUUGAUGGUGUUGCCUCUGUUCGCCUGCCUAGGAUUUAAGGCAAAAGAAGCCCACAGAUCAGAGCAGAUACAGCUAAAUUAAACUUCUGUAUGGCCAAAUAGCCCAGUGAAAACAAAAUCAGAGAAAACUGAGCUCCGGGUCUCAAUUAAAACAAAUGAAGAUUGAUGGUGAAUGCAGCAAAAAUGGGUAAAUCCUUUAUCUAUCUAUCGCCUAUCUAUCUAUUUUUAAUUCCAGCAUAAUUAACAUAUAGUGUUACAUUAGUCUCAGGUGUACAAUAUAGUGAUUCAGCAAUUCUGUACAUUACUCAGUGUUCAUUGUGGCAAGUGUACUCUUAAUCCCCUUCACCUAUUUCACUCAUCCCCUCACCAUCUGUUACCAUCAGUUUGUUCUCUGUAGUUAAGAGUUUGUUUUUAAGUUUGUCUUUUUUUCUUCGCUUGCUUGUUUUGUUUCUUAAAUUCCAGGUAUGAAUGAAAUCAUAUGGUAUUUGUUUUCUUUGACUUCUUUCACUUAGCAUUAUACCCUUUAGAUCCAUCCGUGUUGUUGCAAAUGGCAAGAUUUCAUUCUUUUUUAUGGCUCAGUAACAUUCUCAAAAUGGAUAAAUCUUAAAAAUACAAUGUUAAGUAAAAAAAGCAAACUGCAGAAGGAGAUAUGCAAUAUGGUGCUACUUUUUAUAAAAGGUUAAAAUGUUUAUGUAUAUUUUGUUUAGGAAUGCAUACAUAUAUUCUCAAGCUAUAAAAACACGCAUGGGAUGAUAAACACCAAAUUCAUGGUAGUGGUUACUUGAAGGGAAGGAUGAUGGACAGUGGGAUUGGGGGAGGUGGUGCCAGGGAUUUCAUCUGCAUCUGAAAUAUUUUAAUUGUGUAAAAAAAUUCUAAGGAAAGUGCUCAGGCAAAUAAGGAAAAUGUUAAAAUUUGACUUGGCUGUAUAAUGGGCACCUGGAAGUUCAUUCUAUGAUUCCUCAUAAUUUUUUUAUAUUCUGGAUGCACCUCACUAUUCACAUAAAAGGAAAGAAAGAAUAAUUCAAGUUUAAGCAAAAGGAAAUUGAGUAUUUGCACAAACACAUUAGACAUUUAGGAAUAUUUAAAUACAUUUUUGAUCUCAAACUUUGUUAACACAAGUCUAUUUAUGGAUGAAAAGCAUUAUAGAUUUAGCCCCAUUCAAGAGUGGUAAUUUAUAUGUAAACUGGUGUGCUAUGAGAUCCAGCCACUGCAGAGUCUCAUUCAAAAAAAACAUAAGUCUAAUCUCAGAAGACGGGAAAUAAUGAAGGCUCUGGCGUGGGUGUGGUUGCUGCCAUUUGGCUCCCACGCUAUAGAAAUAUGCUUGCUUGUGACUGGGGAGAUAGUAUUAUUGACAUAUGUGACAGCCAGCACAGGGAUUUGACCCACCCUUAAGAUAGAUACAUGGUAUGACUGGGCUUCCAGAGUUUCGUGUAGAUUUAUCUUCUUUGGGUAGGAUGGUAACUGAUUCACUCUCCCUGAGCAACCAUCAGGUUCCUUGCUCCUUUCCCUUUCUGCAGAGAACUCUGUGAAUUACACGAUAUUAAAUCAUUCCCAAACAUAGGAUCCAAGAUCCUACAUUACUUCUUCCUUGUCUAUUUGAAUAUGCUUAAAAUGAUGUAUUCUCUAAGUUAUGACUGUAUUUUUUUCUCCUGAUAAGGUGACCCUGUUAUUUAAUUUCUACUUUCUCCCUUGGAGUCCUGUCAUCUACACCAAAUUAUGUUUUAAUUACUCUAUUUAUAGUGUGUAGAAUCAAAAAUAUGUUCUCUUUUGGGGAGCCUGGGUGGCUCAGUCGGUUAAGUAUCCGACUUUGGCUCAGGUCAUGAUCUCAGGGUUUGUGGGUUCGAGCCCCACUCAGGCUCUGUGCUGACAGCUCAGAGCCUGGAGCCUGCUUCGGACUCUGUGUCUCCCUCUGUCUCUGCCCCUAUGCCGCUCAUGUUCUGUCUUUGUCUCUCAAAAAUAAAAAAUAAAUACGUUAAAAAAAUUUUUUUAAA